This 524-nucleotide ribosomal RNA is filed under the name uncultured bacterium. RNAcentral describes it as "partial 16S ribosomal RNA". It matches the Rfam family "Bacterial small subunit ribosomal RNA", at positions 28 to 523 of the family's 1533-position model. The record is from RNAcentral.
GACGAACGCUGGCGGCGUGCCUAAUACAUGCAAGUCGAACGAAGCUGUUUUAACUGGUGCUUGCACCGACUUAAACAACUGAGUGGCGAACGGGUGAGUAACACGUGGGUAACCUGCCCCAAAGCGGGGGAUAACAUUUGGAAACAGAUGCUAAUACCGCAUAACCACAGAAACCACAUGGUUUCUGUGUCAAAGAUGGUUUCGGCUAUCACUUUGGGAUGGACCCGCGGCGUAUUAGCUAGUUGGUAAGGUAAUGGCUUACCAAGGCAAUGAUGCGUAGCCGAACUGGGAGGGUGAUCGGCCACAUUGGGACUGAGACACGGCCCAAACUCCUACGGGAGGCAGCAGUAGGGAAUCUUCCACAAUGGACGAAAGUCUGAUGGAGCAACGCCGCGUGAGUGAAGAAGGUUUUCGGAUCGUAAAACUCUGUUGUCAGAGAAGAACGUGUGCGAGAGUAACUGCUCGUGCAGUGACGGUAUCUGGCCAGAAAGCCACGGCUAACUACGUGCCAGCCGCCGCCGUAA